Molecule: unclassified non-coding RNA, 2476 nt
Filed under: Melitaea cinxia (Glanville fritillary)
Lineage: Eukaryota; Metazoa; Arthropoda; Insecta; Lepidoptera; Nymphalidae
Description: misc RNA ENSMCXG00005022181.1
Source: RNAcentral
CAACUUACAAACUCAGUAUCAACGCGGUUUACACACCUACAAGUCAAGAUGAAGGUUGUAUUCUUGUUAUGUGUCACGUGCGUUAUGUGUUUAUCAGUUGACGCGAGAACGAUAAUACCGGAAUUGUCGAGUGAUUGGUUCUACAACAAAUCGGUGCUGAGUGAAAGAGAUGUUGUUGUAAGAAAUAAACGUAACGUUAUUAAGGACAGUUCUUGCCCUUUGGGUUACAAAAGGUUAAAGAUGCUGCCGAUAUUUUACUGCGCUCGGUGUAAACCAUCGGAUAAAUGCUGACGCUACGAACAAGCCAACGUUAGCACAGCCAAAUGCCAAGACCGUUAAAUAUUUAUACUACAAAUAUUCGAUUACUACGAGAUUUUGUUAUCUUUAAAUUUAUUAUUACUUUAUUUAUUAAAGUUUGAAUAUAAAUUUAAUUAUAACGAAAAUGAAUGGAUAGAUGAUGUCUUAUUUUAUAGAAGAAUAAUAUUUUCACAGCCCACAAAAUUAUUUUGAAAUUGUAAUCUCGACCGCCCAGAUCAGUCUCCAUCGUGCCCUUUUCAUCUUACAAUGACAUUGGCAAAAUCAUUGGUUCUAUUUUAACAUCAUUUUUAAAUUUUCGAAUAAGUGAUUUUUUUUAUUGAAAUCAUAAAAAGGGUUAAUUAUUAGGAAUUUUAAAUAGUACAGUUCAUUAAUUUUUUUAUUUUAUUUGAGUGAUGAUUGUUAUUCUGUUUUAAAAUAUUGUAUUUUUUAAUGUGAUAUAAGUUUAUAAGACUAUAAUAUUCAAGGCGUAUAAUUUAUUAAUAUUGAUAUUGUAUAAUUUAUAAAAAUUAGUAUAUAGAAUUUUAGAAUAUUUCAGUAAUAAUUGUAAUGCCAUUAAAAUACUUGGUUUUCCUCUUAUAGCAAAAUUUAAGAAAAAGCUAAAAAUUUAAUGAAAAGUUGUAAUUUAUAACGUAAAUAACGGUUUGUUCUAUUUUAUGCAGGUAUGAUAUGUUUUAUAGGUGUAUUUUAUACCAAGCCGUCUUAAAAUAUAGCCUCCUUGAAUGAUAGGCUUAUAAAACAUAGUAUUUAAAGUUUACCAGGCUUUAGCAACUUGAAUACUUGUCAAUUUCUUUUACCAUAUUAUGUACGCUAGUUGUAAGACUACCAUUGUUGAUAUACUGAGAUUUAAAAAUUUUAAUUGUACUGAGUAAUACUUUUACGUCAUUUCAUACUUUAAUAACUUUUUUCGUCUAUAAAAUUAAAACAAUAUGUUUAAUUAACAGAACAGUUACAAUUAAAUUAUUUAAAAAAAAUAUUAUAAAACUUAUCUUAAAUUGGUGGACAUGGAAAAGAUAAAUUUAACAGAAAAUAAAAUAACAUUAAAGAGCUUUAUAGUAGAGAGGUAUAUUGUAACUAUAGCACUUAUUUCUAUAUAUUGACGUAACUUAUGUUUUAAAAUUGUUUCGUAAAAUGAGCUAAGAAUUAUCUGGAACUUUUUCUAUAUUCCUAGCUCAUAUUUUAUUCUCUUCAUAUCUUUAGCCAGUAACUCAUUUGUAGAUAGCUCACUUUACAUCAAACGGCUAAGAGAAGAAUAAGUCUUUAUUUAUUAUACAUUUUCAUAAAAAAGAGGAUAUUUCAAAAUUUAUCAUUCAACUUCUUGAAUUGCAUGUAUGUAUCUCAAGAUUGCCAAAAAAAAAAAUUCUAAAAAAAUAAUAUAAAUGUGCCAAAAGAGAGAGAGAGAGAAUGUUAGUCAAUAGAGAAUAGUCAGUAGUUUAUUUGAGUCUCUCUAACUUAGAUAUAAUUAAAAAGUUGUAGUCAGGCGUGAGCGAAGUGGGCCCUCGUCUAUACCUUAGCAUUUAAGGGGCUUUGCAAUGACUCCUUUGCCUGACUUUAUUUACCAUAGAUAAAAAAAUAAUUUAUUUUAUUCAGCAGGGCUCCAAAAAUUUAUUUACGUUUAUUCAUCUCACGUAUAAUUACAAAUAUAACAAGUUAAUUUUCAGCAAUAAAGGCAUACUCUCUAACUCAGCUAUAAUAAUAAAUUUAAUAAAGAACGUCAUAAAUCAAAAAACGUGGUUGUUUGAGACCUCACAGGAAGCCCUUCUUAAACGAGACUACGAAGAUUUUAUCUAUCUUUAAAGACUGCGACACUUAGAUUGAUAGGAUCCGGCAUUUGGGUAGAUAUUUGGAAGGAAAUAAUGGGGGCAUUCGACUUCGUCCAUGCCAUUAGACCCCGCUACAUAUCUAUGUAAUUAUGUGUAUACAAAUAAAGUAAUUGAAAUAAGUGGAUGUGUCCUUGAAAUUCCUAUAAAUGUAUUUUUGGAAAUUUAAUAUCUUCAAUUGUAAAUGUAAAUUUUAUGACGAAUAAAAAUGUAAUUUCAACAGUUUAAAUAAAGAAUGUUGAGUUUUAUAAAGGUUUUUAUUUAUUUUUUUAACUACUAUCAUUAAAUACGACACGUUGGUGCAGUGGUGGCAAAUAAUCCGUUGAUAGUUGCGGGUUCAG